This 478-nucleotide small RNA is filed under the name Arabidopsis thaliana (thale cress). RNAcentral describes it as "ATSL042720". Lineage: Eukaryota; Viridiplantae; Streptophyta; Magnoliopsida; Brassicales; Brassicaceae. The record is from RNAcentral.
AUGUAGAAACCUAACGGAAGAGCUUGCUUGUAUUGUCAAAAAAAUAAAUAUGUUUGAAAUGAAUUGUUUCAGAGGCUUCUAGAUGCAUCACACAGGGACCUAAGGCGUGCAAGAGCCGCAGCACUGAACAUAGUGCCUACCAGCACAGGAGCAGCCAAGGCGGUGUCAUUAGUGUUGCCGCAGCUGAAGGGUAAACUUAACGGCAUUGCACUCCGUGUGCCAACACCAAACGUCUCAGUGGUUGACCUUGUUAUAAACGUUGAGAAGAAAGGUUUGACAGCAGAGGAUGUGAACGAGGCCUUUAGAAAAGCCGCUAAUGGACCGAUGAAAGGCAUUUUAGACGUUUGCGAUGCGCCUCUUGUCUCUGUUGACUUCAGGUGCUCUGAUGUCUCUACCACCAUUGACUCGUCCCUCACUAUGGUUAUGGGUGAUGAUAUGGUCAAGGUGGUUGCUUGGUAUGAUAACGAGUGGGGUUACA